AGCUGAUGAUGAGAACCUUUGCCAACCUGACACGUGAUGAAAAAAUGCCCAUUACGGAUCUGGCUUCUGAAGC
Molecule: small nucleolar RNA, 73 nt
Organism: Callorhinchus milii (elephant shark)
Lineage: Eukaryota; Metazoa; Chordata; Chondrichthyes; Chimaeriformes; Callorhinchidae
Product: small nucleolar RNA SNORD50
Exons: 1
Source: RefSeq, a predicted model, not a curated record